This is a long non-coding RNA of Camellia sinensis, 454 nucleotides long. RefSeq lists it as uncharacterized. NCBI's taxonomy places the organism in Eukaryota, Viridiplantae, Streptophyta, Magnoliopsida, Ericales, Theaceae. The record is from RefSeq and is a predicted model, not a curated record.
UAAAAGGUUUGAUGCUAUCUUUUACUAGUAUUUUUAAUUUGAGAUUUUUAUGCUUGAUUUGUUAGGCUAAGGUCUGUCAUAUAUAUUUUGCUCAAUCAGCAGAGAGCUAUGAGUUGGUAGAAGAAGCCUAUUCACCUCUGCCCGGAUUCGUUGAAUUACCUACUUGCCCUGUUUGUCUUGGCUUAUGGUAUUGAUCAUUUGGUGCUUCCAACAAGAGACUACCUCUUUGCUCCGUCACUGAGUGAUAUAUGCCAAGCUGUGGACUUCAUUCAUGAUAUUUCCGGAGUAGGAGUUUGCUUCUUGUGGAUUUCAUGCUUGUGAAGAAUGCCACUAAUUUUUGUUUUUUGUACCAUGGAGAAUGCUGAGGAAAAAUUUAAUUUUGGUUUAUGUUAUUUUGAAUUAUGAAUAACAUUAUGUAUUUAAAUAUUAUAUAUGUAUUAUGGAACAUUAUAUA